Long non-coding RNA from Dreissena polymorpha, 349 nucleotides. RefSeq lists it as uncharacterized. The record is from RefSeq and is a predicted model, not a curated record. The transcript is spliced from 4 exons. Lineage: Eukaryota; Metazoa; Mollusca; Bivalvia; Myida; Dreissenidae.
CUCACACGUGCAUAAAUUAAUUUAGAUGUCGUGGUAAAAACCUUGUUGCCAACACAUUCUUUCGUCGAAUUCUCGUUCAAUGCAAGUUAGAUGAUGCAUCCAGUUGGCAGAUAAGCCCCCUGGCUGGGUAAUGGAUGAUGAAAUAGCUGAUUAGUCCCCAUAUGGAUGCCUCUUGAUGUGUGGAGUGAAUACCAGAUUAGUCUCCCUUGGCCUAUACUGGAAAGAACACUGGUGGCAUGUCACAGGUAUAAAAGGUGUGAAAAGUCUCAAACCAGCGACCUUCACUGGGUUUGAAAUCAGGCUAUCCAUGUCCUCUACUGCACCAGCUAUUGGGAUCAAAGAGACUGGG